Molecule: ribosomal RNA, 637 nt
Filed under: uncultured bacterium
Lineage: Bacteria
Description: bacterial SSU rRNA
Rfam family: Bacterial small subunit ribosomal RNA
Source: RNAcentral
AGAGUUUGAUCCUGGCUCAGGAUGAACGCUAGCGGCAGGCCUAAUACAUGCAAGUCGAACGGUGUAGCAAUACAUAGUGGCGCACGGGUGCGUAACACGUAUGCAACCUACCUUAUACUGAGGGAUAGCCUUUGGAAACGAAGAUUAACACCUCAUGGGACAUUGACUUGGCAUCGGGUUAAUGUUAAAGAUUUAUUGGUAUAAGAUGGGCAUGCGUCCAAUUAGUUAGUUGGUGAGGUAACGGCUCACCAAGACGAUGAUUGGUAGGGGAACUGAGAGGUUAAUCCCCCACACUGGCACUGAGAUACGGGCCAGACUCCUACGGGAGGCAGCAGUAGGGAAUAUUGGGCAAUGGAGGCAACUCUGACCCAGCCAUGCCGCGUGCAGGAUGAAGGCGUUAUGCGUUGUAAACUGCUUUUAUAUAGGAAGAAAUAGACCUUGCGAGGUAAGUUGACGGUACUAUAUGAAUAAGCACCGGCUAACUCCGUGCCAGCAGCCGCGGUAAUACGGAGGGUGCAAGCGUUGUCCGGAUUUAUUGGGUUUAAAGGGUGCGUAGGCGGUUUAUUAAGUCAGUGGUGAAAGACGGUCGCUCAACGAUUGCAGUGCCAUUGAUACUGGUAGACUUGAGUGGGAUUGA